This 460-nucleotide ribosomal RNA is filed under the name uncultured bacterium. Its description in RNAcentral is "partial 16S ribosomal RNA". It matches the Rfam family "Bacterial small subunit ribosomal RNA", at positions 338 to 795 of the family's 1533-position model. The record is from RNAcentral.
CCUACGGGUGGCAGCAGUGAGGAAUAUUGGUCAAUGGACGCAAGUCUGAACCAGCCAUGCCGCGUGCAGGAUGACGGCUCUAUGAGUUGUAAACUGCUUUUGUACGAGGGUAAACUCCGAUACGGGUAUCUGUCUGAAAGUAUCGUACGAAUAAGGAUCGGCUAACUCCGUGCCAGCAGCCGCGGUAAUACGGAGGAUCCGAGCGUUAUCCGGAUUUAUUGGGUUUAAAGGGUGCGUAGGCGGUUUGAUAAGUUAGAGGUGAAAUGUCGGGGCUCAACGCCGGAACUGCCUCUGAUACUGUUGGGCUAGAGAGUAGUUGCGGUAGGCGGAAUGUAUGGUGUAGCGGUGAAAUGCUUAGAGAUCAUACAGAACACCGAUUGCGAAGGCAGCUUACCAAACUAUAUCUGACGUUGAGGCACGAAAGCGUGGGUAGCAAACAGGAUUAGAUACCCUUGUAGUC